This 529-nucleotide long non-coding RNA is filed under the name Cavia porcellus (domestic guinea pig). Its description in RNAcentral is "lncRNA (ENSCPOG00000032382.1)". The record is from RNAcentral. Lineage: Eukaryota; Metazoa; Chordata; Mammalia; Rodentia; Caviidae.
GCCAGGCGGAGGGGCUCCCGAUAUUUACCCGGGCUCUGGCUUUCCUCGGCUUCCGGGAACCUCUGGCACCUGCUGCACCUGGAAAGCAGAAGCCACCUUAUAUAGGCGCCCGAGGCCACCGCCACCGGAUCCUAAGGUUUACGAAACCGUCCAAAACAUGGGAUCGGGAGCCUUGGUUCUCCUGGAGGCCCCACGAGUCUCAGGAAGUCGGAAAUGCAAGGUGCCGGUGCCGGGAGGCGAACACGCGCCGCGGCCCCAGGGUCGGAGCUGACAGCUUAGGCGCGGCCCGGUAGAUGGCUGAACGCUGACCCCUCGCGACACUGCGAGGCUGCACAGGCUGGGAGGGCGGCGCCGGCCACACCCGCCCACGGGAGCUCCGGCCCCCGCGCGCCCUGCUGGCUUACAGCUCCUCCCUGCUCGCCGGAGCCGUGCUAGCCAAGAUGAGUCCUAGCGGCUGAUGGCACCAUUUUGGGACCCGCAAGGUAAACCAGGGGGGUAAAGGGAUUGCAGAAGUUUUCCCCGGGUUAAG